Molecule: unclassified non-coding RNA, 214 nt
Filed under: soil metagenome
Description: partial contains small subunit ribosomal RNA, internal transcribed spacer 1, and 5.8S ribosomal RNA
Source: RNAcentral
UUGCCGUAGGUGAACCUUCGGCAGGAUCAUUAACAUUAUCUUCUUUUUAAACCCUAUGUGAACCCCGCUGAGUGCUGGCAACGGCACGAAGCACCGUUUUUUUUAAAACAAACGCAAUUAAUUCACAGUUUGCUGAUUUCAAAACAAAAAAGCUUCUGGAAACAGAUGCGAUUUAAUGAAAACACAACUGUUAACAAUGGAUAUCUUGGCUCUU